RNAcentral lists this ribosomal RNA (495 nucleotides) under uncultured bacterium. RNAcentral's name for it is "partial 16S ribosomal RNA". It matches the Rfam family "Bacterial small subunit ribosomal RNA", at positions 28 to 507 of the family's 1533-position model. The record is from RNAcentral.
GACGAACGCUGGCGGCGUGCCUAAUACAUGCAAGUAGAACGCUGAAGGAGGAGCUUGCUUCUCUGGAUGAGUUGCGAACGGGUGAGUAACGCGUAGGUAACCUGCCUGGUAGCGGGGGAUAACUAUUGGAAACGAUAGCUAAUACCGCAUAAGAGUAGAUGUUGCAUGACAUUUGCUUAAAAGGUGCAAUUGCAUCACUACCAGAUGGACCUGCGUUGUAUUAGCUAGUUGGUGGGGUAACGGCUCACCAAGGCGACGAUACAUAGCCGACCUGAGAGGGGGAUCGGCCACACUGGGACUGAGACACGGCCCAGACUCCUACGGGAGGCAGCAGUAGGGAAUCUUCGGCAAUGGACGGAAGUCUGACCGAGCAACGCCGCGUGAGUGAAGAAGGUUUUCGGAUCGUAAAGAUCUGUUGUAAGAGAAGAACGAGUGUGAGAGUGGAAAGUUCACACUGUGACGGUAUCUUACCAGAAGGGGACGGCUAACUACGUG